Molecule: ribosomal RNA, 488 nt
Filed under: uncultured bacterium
Lineage: Bacteria
Description: bacterial SSU rRNA
Rfam family: Bacterial small subunit ribosomal RNA
Source: RNAcentral
AGAGUUUGAUUAUGGCUCAGAAUGAACGCUGGCGGCAUGGAUUAGGCAUGCAAGUCGAACGUACUCCCUUCGGGGAGAAAGUGGCGAAAGGGUGAGUAACACGUGAGCAACCUGCCUCCGGAUCCGGAAUAAUCCAGGGAAACUUGGUCUAAAACCGAAUGAAGACAUUGGUCCGCAUGGUCUAAUGUUAAAAUAUUUAUAGUCCGGAGAGGGGCUCGCGGCCCAUUAGCUUGUUGGCGGGGUAAUGGCCCACCAAGGCUACGACGGGUAGGUGGUCUGAGAGGAUGGUCACCCACACUGGGACUGAGACACUGCCCAGACUCCUACGGGAGGCUGCAGUCGAGAAUCUUCCGCAAUGGGCGCAAGCCUGACGGAGCGAUGCCGCGUGAGGGAUGAAGGCCUUCGGGUUGUAAACCUCUGUCAUCCGGGACGAAAACAAUGACGGUACCGGAAAAGGAAGCCACGGCUAACCACGUGCCAGCCGCCGC